This 424-nucleotide ribosomal RNA is filed under the name uncultured prokaryote. Its description in RNAcentral is "bacterial SSU rRNA". It matches the Rfam family "Bacterial small subunit ribosomal RNA", at positions 355 to 796 of the family's 1533-position model. The record is from RNAcentral.
UGGGGAAUAUUGGACAAUGGGCGAAAGCCUGAUCCAGCAAUGCCGCGUGAGUGAUGAAGGCCUUAGGGUUGUAAAGCUCUUUUACCAGGGAUGAUAAUGACAGUACCUGGAGAAUAAGCUCCGGCUAACUCCGUGCCAGCAGCCGCGGUAAUACGGAGGGAGCUAGCGUUGUUCGGAAUUACUGGGCGUAAAGCGCGCGUAGGCGGCUCAUCAAGUCAGAGGUGAAAGCCCGGAGCUCAACUCCGGAACUGCCUUUGAAACUAGUGAGCUAGAAUCUUGGAGAGGUUAGUGGAAUUCCGAGUGUAGAGGUGAAAUUCGUAGAUAUUCGGAAGAACACCAGUGGCGAAGGCGACUGACUGGACAAGUAUUGACGCUGAGGUGCGAAAGCGUGGGGAGCAAACAGGAUUAGAUACCCCCGUAGUCC